This 714-nucleotide ribosomal RNA is filed under the name Triticum aestivum (bread wheat). RNAcentral's name for it is "partial small subunit ribosomal RNA". The record is from RNAcentral. Lineage: Eukaryota; Viridiplantae; Streptophyta; Magnoliopsida; Poales; Poaceae.
AUGGGAAAGGAAUCAAAGAAGAAGAAGUACAAAGAUGAUGAUUCUGAUGAUUCAAAGAAGAAGAAGAAAUCCUCAAAGUCUUCAUCAUCAGAAUCCUCAAAGUCUUCAUCUCACAAGAAGAGCAGCUCCAAGAAGGCCCGGGCAUUCAUUGGCAAAGAAAUGGACUCUGAAGCGGAAUCUAAGGAUAAUGUGGAAGAGGAGGAAUCUGACUCUGGUGUGGCUAGCCUAGCCCUCGCUACUACGUACAUCAGCAAGUCCAUAUUCAACAAUGAAGAAAAUGACUGCCCCGACUCUGCUAACAUGGGCAACAGUGACUAUGCUCCCACCUAUUGCUCCAUGGAAAAAGGUGCCAAGGUACUCAAGCAUUCCCCCUCUGACUCAAGUGAGGAUGAAUCUGAUGACAAUCUUAAGCUUAGCUAUUCAAAACUUGCUAAAAUUGCUAUUAAACAACAGAAGGCUUUAGAAAAGAUUCAAAAUCAACUAGACAGAAGCGAUAACCUGUUGGGCGAGGAAUUGAAUCGAACUAAGACUCUGACAGAUAAUCUUCAGAGAUUUCAAACUUGGUUUGACAACCUUCAAAGUCAUCAUAACACUCUCUUAACUGAUCACGAGACGCUUUCUUAUGAAUUUCUUCAGAAAAAGCAAGAUCUUGAGACGUUAAAAGCAAGUUAUGAAGAUCUUCAGAAGGAAAACGAUUCAUUGCUUGCUCAAUAG